Molecule: ribosomal RNA, 253 nt
Filed under: uncultured bacterium
Lineage: Bacteria
Description: partial 16S ribosomal RNA
Rfam family: Bacterial small subunit ribosomal RNA
Source: RNAcentral
UACGUAGGUGACCAGCGUUGUCCGGAUUUACUGGGCGUAAAGAGCGCGCAGGCGGUCGAUCAAGUCGAGUGUGAAAGCCCCCGGCUCAACUGGGGAGGGUCAUUCGAUACUGAUCGACUCGAAGGCAGGAGAGGGUAGUGGAAUUCCCGGUGUAGUGGUGAAAUGCGUAGAUAUCGGGAGGAACACCAGUGGCGAAGGCGACUACCUGGCCUGUUCUUGACGCUGAGGCGCGAAAGCUAGGGGAGCAAACAGG